UAUCUUUUAUUGGACCAACUGUAUAGUUGGGAUAGUGUUAGACACGCUUUCAAAUGCAAGACAUUCUUCCAUUCUAACUUGAUAAUGAAACCUCUUGUGGGGAGGAGGCGCCUUACAGAACGUCAGAAAGGACAGUCACAAGGCCUUCUCCCAAACAGUUUUUGUAGGUCACUCUUAAUAGCACUAAGGGUCUGGGCCGAGCUUAAUUCAAUACUCUCCAAACCCCAUUCCAAUGAUGUGCUUCAGAUGUGGAGCACUUCAGCAUCAUGCACAUGUACAGGUCCUCCUGCCUGGAGCACUUUGAAAUGGUGACAAGAGCAUGUUAUGGUGAUGCUCUGCAGCCAGAGGGCUGAAGAGCAGACAUCCAAGCAAGCCUUGCAGGCCCCAGUUGCUGGAGGUUUCUGAGGACAAGAGAGUGCUCAUUGACUGUCCACCUAAAUGGAUGGGUGGAGAUGCACACAACUCCUCCCUCCCCAUAUAGCUUGUGUUAGGAGUGAGCUGCCAACUGAGGGCCUGGUAGCUUUAACUAAUGAGCCCUCCUGAGAAGAUGCCGUGAACCCAAGGAGCCCAGAAUAGACCUCUAUUCACUCCUAACCCUGCUGUUCAUGCUCAAGUGAUGUUGGGGAAGUCCUGACCAUGCUGUACCACUUGAAUAAGAGUCUUAAGCCUACCUAUGCCUGUUCAGCAUCCUAUCCUAGCUCAUGUGCUAGUGGAUAUGGGGUGGCAUGCUUGCAUGAAUUGACAUGACAGGCCCUGGAAAGGUGCCUGGUGAAGAUGAGCUGCCUGGUCUGCAUCUCCCAUGCCUAUGUGCCUGACAAGGACGAUGCCAUACAGAACACCGUGGAGGCCAGCCUGCUGCAGGACCACCUGCAGACUGUGUGCUGGCUCUUCUGAGUCAGGGAUGUGAACAGUGACUAGUGGGAGUGCGUUGGUCACCACAAACUGGUUGAGCAAAGCCCAUGACUUCAGGGGCUUUCACAACUCCAGCCUGGUGCCCCGAUAAUGCAGGAGAUUUUCUCUAUGGGCCUACCAGCAUCAAGGUGAAGGUGUUACUAGAAACCUGGGCCUAUUCAGUCUUUAGAGAGACAAGGCUGCAGCCUGUCUAUGAUUAGGACCUCUUUUGCAAGCUUGAGCACAGAAUUAAGGGAUGGUUACAAUUAUUUUGAUGAUUAAGCCUAUUACACCAAAUCAAGAUAAAGUUUGAUUACACCAGAUUUGAUUACACCAAAUCAAGAUACAGUUAUACUUCUGUGAUCCUCCAGUUCCCUUUUAGCAGGUAGGUUUGUUGUUACCUCCCAAGUAGGAUGCAAGAGAUGGAUCAAUAACCCAGCCUUCUAUUGAUUGCACCCCA
This is a long non-coding RNA of Gavialis gangeticus (Gharial), 1351 nucleotides long. RefSeq lists it as uncharacterized. Lineage: Eukaryota; Metazoa; Chordata; Crocodylia; Gavialidae. The transcript has 2 exons. The record is from RefSeq and is a predicted model, not a curated record.